GAUGAACGCCGGCGGCGUGCCUAAUACAUGCAAGUCGAGCGAACGGACGAGAAGCUUGCUUCUCUGAUGUUAGCGGCGGACGGGUGAGUAACACGUGGAUAACCUACCUAUGAGACUGGGAUAACUUCGGGAAACCGGAGCUAAUACCGGAUAAUAUUUUGAACCGCAUGGUUCAAAAGUGAAAGACGGUCUUGCUGUCACUUAUAGAUGGAUCCGCGCUGCAUUAGCUAGUUGGUAAGGUAACGGCUUACCAAGGCAACGAUGCAUAGCCGACCUGAGAGGGUGAUCGGCCACACUGGAACUGAGACACGGUCCAGACUCCUACGGGAGGCAGCAGUAGGGAAUCUUCCGCAAUGGGCGAAAGCCUGACGGAGCAACGCCGCGUGAGUGAUGAAGGUCUUCGGAUCGUAAAACUCUGUUAUUAGGGAAGAACAUAUGUGUAAGUAACUGUGCACAUCUUGACGGUACCUAAUCAGAAAGCCACGGCUAACUACGU
Molecule: ribosomal RNA, 496 nt
Filed under: uncultured bacterium
Lineage: Bacteria
Description: partial 16S ribosomal RNA
Rfam family: Bacterial small subunit ribosomal RNA
Source: RNAcentral